AGAGUUUGAUCCUGGCUCAGGACGAACGCUGGCGGCGUGCUUAACACAUGCAAGUCGAACGGAAAGGCCCACCACCUUUGGUGGUGGGUACUCGAGUGGCGAACGGGUGAGUAACACGUGGGUGAUCUGCCCCGCACUGUGGGAUAAGCCUGGGAAACUGGGUCUAAUACCACAUACGACCACACUGUAGACAGUGUGGUGGAAAGCUUUUGCGGUGUGGGAUGAGCCCGCGGCCUAUCAGCUUGUUGGUGGGGUAAUGGCCUACCAAGGCGGCGACGGGUAGCCGGCCUGAGAGGGUGGACGGCCACAUUGGGACUGGGACACGGCCCAGACUCCUACGGGAGGCAGCAGUGGGGAAUAUUGCACAAUGGGCGCAAGCCUGAUGCAGCGACGCCGCGUGGGGGAUGGAAGGCCUUCGGGUUGUAAACUCCUUUCGCCCGGGACGAAGCCCACCUGGUGGGUGACGGUACCGUGGAGAAGAAGCACCGGCUAACUACGUG
RNAcentral lists this ribosomal RNA (500 nucleotides) under uncultured Corynebacterium sp. RNAcentral describes it as "bacterial SSU rRNA". It matches the Rfam family "Bacterial small subunit ribosomal RNA", at positions 8 to 507 of the family's 1533-position model. The record is from RNAcentral. Lineage: Bacteria; Bacillati; Actinomycetota; Actinomycetes; Mycobacteriales; Corynebacteriaceae.